Molecule: long non-coding RNA, 204 nt
Filed under: Nicotiana benthamiana
Lineage: Eukaryota; Viridiplantae; Streptophyta; Magnoliopsida; Solanales; Solanaceae
Description: long non-coding RNA (NBEN_LNC000423)
Source: RNAcentral
CGCCUUUUUGAUCAACAAGGGAUUGAAUCACUUCAAGGGGGGAACUCUUGGGUUGAGCUUAUGAGGACUGUCAUUUCUAGGACGAUCAGUCCGAAUUUGACCGAUGUCGACAGUCUCGCCACGGCCUAUUGUCUUUUUCUGGAGAAGGGCCUGGGGCUUUGAAGCAGGGCCACUUAUAUUGCAAAACUUUCAGAGACGGGAUGG